This 252-nucleotide ribosomal RNA is filed under the name uncultured prokaryote. RNAcentral describes it as "partial 16S ribosomal RNA". It matches the Rfam family "Bacterial small subunit ribosomal RNA", at positions 525 to 777 of the family's 1533-position model. The record is from RNAcentral.
ACGUAGGGGGCAAGCGUUGUCCGGAUUUAUUGGGCGUAAAGAGCUCGUAGGCGGCUGUCCACGUCGGGUGUGAAAGCUCGGGGCUCAACCCUGAGAGGUCAUUCGAUACGGGACGGCUUGAGGCAGCUAGGGGAGAUUGGAAUUCCUGGUGUAGCGGUGAAAUGCGCAGAUAUCAGGAGGACACCGGUGGCGAAGGCGGAUCUCUGGGGCUGUUCUGACGCUGAGGAGCGAAAGCUGGGGGAGCAAACAGGA